Long non-coding RNA from Acinonyx jubatus (cheetah), 10365 nucleotides. RefSeq lists it as uncharacterized. Lineage: Eukaryota; Metazoa; Chordata; Mammalia; Carnivora; Felidae. The transcript is spliced from 4 exons. The record is from RefSeq and is a predicted model, not a curated record.
UGAUCCUUUGGAGUGGAAAAGGUUAGCUGGGAACAUGCUUGUGAAACACACUGUGGAGGAUUCUCAUUAUGGUCGUUCUUGCCUCCAGGUUCAAGUGUUGCUCAAUCAGCAAGGUGCUCGAUUCACAGUGAUUGCUGCGCACUUCCUCGUUGAUCAAGAAAAUGCAUAAUCUCAGCCUAGACACAUUCACCAGAGAAAUGAAUAUAAGAAACAGGAUUUUGAUUUAAAUUUUCCAGUUGCAGAUCGAGAAAAAUAUAUAUGCAAGAGAAGAUUCCACUUGCAAAGCCCUGAUUCAAUUUUUACAGCAGCCCAACAACGCAGUGACAGAAGAAGAGAGUGCGGUCUAGGAAGUGUAACUCACUCCGUCCCCAAAACCAGCUGCACAGGGACUCUACGAAGCAGUUGGGAGCCACUGCCAGUUCUGAACAGCGGAAAGAUACGUUCGAAGCUGCGCUUUUGGAAAAUCGGUCUGGCAGCAGCAGGGAAGAUAGACUGUCUUUUCUCGGCUCAGCAGCACCAGCUGGAAGACCUGACCACGGAGCCAGCAAGUGCAGAGCCGGGGUUAGGACCACGUCGGUCCGACUGCUGGGCUGGGGCUCAAAUCCCAGAAGGCAGGCCGACUAAGGCUGGAUGAAGGCUUCUGGCUCCACAAGCCCCCUUUCCUCAUCAGGGGCGCCCUGGCACGGUGUUCCUCUGCCGCCCUUCCUGUGGUUUUGAACCUUCCUAUUGGCCCAUCUCAGCAGCAAACAGUUCCUCUGAGUAGAAUGUGCUCUGAAAAGCCCAAAUCCACCACCAGCUGGAGCUGGGAGGGCUGCAAUACUUCCUGUUGAAUUGGGUCCUGGGGGCAGAAACCGCAUUGCUAUUUAUACCCGAAGCUCUUUAUUUGAGGUGCUUUACAAAACACAAAAGGCUAAGUCCUCUGUCUUCGAAGCCAACAGACCACAGACGCACGGAAGACAACAGAGAAUAAUGAGCUGCCUCCCCUCUUACACCGUCUCUCCCUUUCUGCCCGAGCGGUUCCCUCUGCGGCCCCUUCUAUUUCUUUCAUCGCCUUCCUCUGAGCAGUCUUAUUACUGAAAUAGACUCCUAAUUAACACAUCAGGUUUCCCCUGUUCCAAAAAGUCUCUGAAAUUUGCCUGUUCGGUGAUGCUGUUCACUCAAAACACCCCCUGCUGUCUUUAUUUUGUUCUGCUUUUUGUCCUGGCUCGUAUCGUUUGUUUCUUUGUAUUGAAAGCUUGUCAGCUCGCGGAACCUGGCACGUAUUAAUUAGGAGGAUGGUCCGGUGCUCGACACAGCUUGAUGGAAAGCAAGUCUGAGCGGGGACUUGGGCAGAGAAUCAGAAGGAAGCUGAGGCGAACGAACGGGGAGACGGCUUCAGACCGUGACCCAGUUUUCAGACCCAGGGCGCGACCAACAGUCAGCCUUCUGGCCUGUGACUCUUGACCUCAGCUAAGCCCAUCUGCAACUUGCCCCGUAAGAGUGCACGUCGGGGGCACGUCUGUGCCUUUGCCCAGUGUGUGCCCCUCUGCCGGGAUGCCCUGCCUUCUCUCUGCCACCUGAGUUUUGCUGGCGUUCAAGGCCAGAAGGACAUUUCAUCACCUCCGAAAAGCCUUCCACGGCUCGUCUAGUCCUAGUCAGCCACCGUCUUCGUGACACCUUGACUGUUUUUGCAUCACCGAACCUACCCCCUUGAUCGUGUGGUCUUUUUGAUGAGAAUCGUCUCCGUGCCUCCAGUCCUCAAAGGGAAAGGGGGUUCCGCCAGACACGGGUGGAGUAAGAAAGAAGCUUGCUAGCUGCUUCAGGUCAGCGGGUCUUCGAAGUCUUUGGAGCAGUCCCACACACAGCGCCCCCGUCCCCACCCAAGACGGACAAGUUCAGCAGACACAGAUCCUAGAGGUGCUGGCCUCCAAGCAUCGCUCAGGGGAAUUGCCAGCCAUGGUUUGGAAACAGAGCUGCCCUGGUGAGAAGCAGCUCAAUUGUAAACCGGCUUCUGCAAUUUGGUGUCUCCCUUAGACCCUUGGGCUCAUCUCUGAAACAUCGAUUUCUUGUCCCGUCCACAGGCUUUAGUACGUGUGGUGAGCAGCACUGGGGCUCCACCUGCCCCCCUCAAAAUCCUUUUUCCAUUCUUAGAUGCCCUGUUCCUGGCUUAUAUGUUUGCUUCCAGCAGCUGGCACCCGUGAGGGACCCUUCAGAAGACUCCACUCAGAAGUGCCCGGAAACUUACACUUUCCUUCGGCGGGGGGGGGGGGGGGGGGCGCCUUGCUCAAUGACUGACUGGUGCCCACCGUGAAAGUCCAGUUCUUGGCCCAGAGUGAGGACAAGGUCUGAGGCAUAACUUGUAUUCCACGACUCUCCCAGGGGCAGGCCAAGGCGGGGACUUGGUCUGAAUGGCUCCUGGCUUGGCUUCUUCUUGUUCUCUGUCCUGCCUGUCUGUCCUUCCCACCUUUCCCUACCCCACCCCCCCACACUGAUUUGCCCUAGGGAACAGCUCCUCGCACAUGAAUACGCCUCUCCAAGUUCAUUUCUGGGCGAACUGACCUAAGGUAAUACCUAUGGUGCGUCUCUCCAUUGGCCAUUGGCAGUCAUGGCCCCUGCCUACACACUCUACCAGCUUCCACUUUUUUUGAGGGACGGUUGUCAUUCACUCUGAGGUAGCCCUCAAGGACCUAACUCCCAGGCAAACCCUGUGCAAGUCAGGAAGCCCUCAUUAAAAUUAGUUAUACACGUCGCCCAAUACAGUGAAAAAUCUACCCAGUCAUUCCUUGGUGAUGUGAUAACAGAUACCCAGCCAGAAACUUAUUUUUAUUUAUUCUCUUUACGAUACGACAUUCAUUCUAUUUUUUUCAGGCUUUCCUCAUUUUAAAACAUUUCUAGGCAAUACACUCAAGGACAUCAAUGUACUAAAAUGUCAGUUUGUGAAAUAAUGGAACCAUUAGCAUCCAAAGAAUUCUUGGAGCUUGUACAUAUUAUCCAAACAAUGACUGUGGCUUCGGGUCAUGGGCAAAGGUUUCAUUUCAUUUUAGCAUCUCAAAGUUCGCAAAGAUAGCCAAUGAAAUGUCACCAUUCAUCCGCCUAGGAAACAGGAGUAGCUUCCCCCUAAGUCACUUUGGAUGCCGCCCAGGCAGUUACUGAUAGAUUUCAUUCCUCUUUUUAUUUUGUUAAAAAGUUUAUUUAUUUAUUUUGAGAGAGAGAGAGAGAGAGAGAGAGAGAGAAGGGGGCGAGGCAGAGAGAGAGGGAGAGAGAGAGAACCCCAAGCAGCCUCCGCGCUCAACACAGAGCCUGAUGUGGGGCACAAUCCCACGAACCAUGAGAUCAUGACCUGAGCCGAAAUCAAGAGUCGGGCCCUUAACCGACGGAGCCACCCAGGCGUCCCUCAUUCAUCUUUUUAGACGCCACAUUCUUGAUAAUGUGACUCAGGAACGCGGCUGCCACACUGGCCCUGCCCUAAACUCUCCUGAGAAGCUAUCUCAAGUAAUGAAGCAAAGGGAAAAAAUUACUUUUCUGUCCUAGGUCACAAGUCCCUAAACUCUUCCUAACUUUAUAGUUAAACCUACCCCUAAAAUCCCACCACCAUUUCUCACCUUUGCUGCAGGUGCACACAUUCACUUCCGACGCCCUAAGCCCAAGGCCAGGUCUCGGUGUUCUUUGUUUCCCAGCCAGCGGCCAGGGUCACGCCUGUCAACCGCAGUAAUCACGCGAGGACUAGAAGUCACGGACUACUUUGAAUCAAGCCAGGCAAAUAGGGCUUGUGCAAGACUCAACCUAUUCGUGGAUCCGGGCACCUUGGCAAAAUAGAGCCUGAACUGGCAACUGUGAUGUAGUUUUCUGAAAUGCGAUUUCUCAAACUCCUUUAGCUAUCUGCCAUAAGGUGCAUUUGGGUUUUCUUUCUAGCCCUAUUGUUUUAUAAUUUGAUGCCUUUUCCUGCCUGAUAAAUUCAAGUUUUCGGGAACUUAAGCACUUAAUACUUUAGAUUUCUCAGAAAGGCAGCUUAUUAGGAAACCUUGUGUUUACUCAAGUAUGCGAGAAGUCCUCUUGGCCAGCAGGCUACAUGCGAUUCCUUGAAAUUCUGUUCCAUGGACGCCAGGGAGCUAAAUGUAACAUUUAGUCAUCAAUAGGAUAAUUUAGGCUCAUUCUUUCUACUUGCCUUCUUAAGAAGGGAUUGGAGUUCAUGCUGGUAUUCUCUAGAAAAUGGAAGUGCCUUCCCGCCCUGUAAAGAUGGCUUUCCACACACCGUGGACUCUCACACAAGCCUCUUUAUCGUCACACACAUGAAAGCAACAUGAAAAUGCUGAGGUUGGGACCCACGGUGGGAAGCCUUACAAUCAAGAAUGAGAGAAAACUACACACUUAACUACCAAUGAAACGCCAAGCAGAAACGAAGAUGUCCUCACCAGACGAUGGUCUUGAAGACCAGAAGCUCAGCUCCACAGCCCAGAACUUAGACACAGCUCCUAAGGAAAUUAGGAAAACCUCAAAUUAACUAGAAUUCCUCUUCUGCUGUGCCAGUAGCAUGGAAACUCAAGGAAGAAAUUAAAUUUAAAAAAUCACAUUUCUUGCACCCUGAAAUCAAUACCUACAAUAUUGCCCAACUGGGGAAGCAGGACAUUUCCAUAAAAAGAGAGGCACUGUCAUUGGCUAGUAGAUAUGGGGAGUAAAUAAGCUAUAUAGCAGACACUUUCUACAGAAAUUCAAGGCCUCUGCAGCCACAGAGGUGGAGAGAACAUCAUGGAUGGCGGCGGCCUUCUUGCAAUAUUAACCGACCAGAGUGGUUAAGUUCUGGGAGUUGACUGAGCUCCGCCAGGCGAUUCUCACCAGGAUCUCUUUACAGUUGCAAUCAGCAUGUGAGUGGAGCUGGAAUCAUCUGGAAGUCCACUUCACACACUUGUUCGGGGCCCGGACUGGAGAGAUCCAAAGAGCUGGAAGCUAGGGCUGGAAGACAGAUGGUUCCCUGGACAUCUUUCUCUAUUUCGAUGAGGUCUCUCUAUGUGGUCAUUCCACUAUGGUGGCUUCAGAGUAGCUGGACUUUUUACGUGGCAUCUCAGCACCCCAAAAGCACAGGUCCCAGGAGAGAGAGAGAGAGACAGAGAGACAGAGAGAGACUCUAGCAGAAUGGGUGCUGUGCUCUUACAUAAUCACAUAAACCUCAUCAUGUACAUCCCAUUCAUUACCUUUGCCACCUUCCAUUGGUUAGAAGCACAUCACGGGUCCCACCCACACUUGUGGGGAGGGGAAUGACACAGGGUCGUGACUCCUAGGAGCAGAGAUCGUGGGGCCACCCUAAAGUCAGUCUGCCACACGCAGUGAAGUUGAGCAAUGGCCCCCAGGUCACACAGCUAGUGGGCAGCACAAACAGUUUUAGACCUCCAGCAGUCUGACUCCAGAGUCCCCGUUCUCAAUUAUUACACUAGAGGGACACUCCGUAGGAGUGAAUAUUUCUUAAUUGUUAUAAUUCUUAUCUAUCUAUCUAUCUAUCUAUCUAUCUAUCUAUCUAUCUAUCUUGAGAGACAGAGAGCAUGCACAAGCGUGGGAAAGACAGAGAGAGGAGAGAGAUGAUCUCUCAAGCGGGCUCCACACCCAGCAAAGAGCUCUAUGAGGGGCUUGAACUCUCCGGUCAUGACCUGAGCCCAAAUCAAGAGUCAGACACUUAACUGACUGAGCCACUCCGGCGCCCCGUUAUCAUUCUCAUUUUAAAUGAAUACGUUCUCCUCUGCGCCCUCAGUCAGCGACUAAGCUGACGGAAUCAUGCUUGAGUCUGCAAAGCUCCAGACCAGCCCCUGGCACGCGGCGGCUUUCAUGUAGGUGACGCCGUAUCUAUUACCGAGGCUUCCCCGGUGACACAUCCUCCAUGGUUAGAACCUUCGGGUCACAGUAAUAGACCUAACAUAUCCGUACAAAGCGAAAGAGAUCUUGUCGGAGGGCUAGCCAUUUCCCUGGAACAUCUUUAGGCCAGAAGGCACGUGGACAGGAACAAAUGGGAAGUGUCUCGAUGGAGGAAAGUCUUGUAGAUGCUGGGAUGUCAGCCUUGGAAGGGACUCCGGCAGCAGCUGAUGUUCUACAACGCAACGGGCUGAAAAAAACCCCACAUCUCUGUAAAAAUAAAGAAAAGCCUAACUGGCUGCAGCUGCCGUCCUCCCAAUAAUUAGAUUUGGAAGAUUAUUGCUGAGAUGAAUGGAAGAUAUCAUAUGGUCACUGCUAGAAAUAUUUGCCAUCCCUGUCUAACUGCACUACACUUGAGUUCUUAGCAGACCCACAUAUGUUUGUUUUUAAUUAAAAUGUGCUGAAUGAACCGUUAGCUGCACUGAAAUAAUGAAGAAAAGCAACACAAGACAAAUCAGCUAAUUGACAACUCCAAGGAUUCUAUUUUAUACCCUUCAGUCAUGUUAAUGGAGAUUUCGAAUAUGUUCUAGUUGAAAUAAUAAUUACACAGGCACAGUUACAUAAUAAUCUAAAAGUAGAUAAAAAUAUAUUAUACAUAACUACAGCAGCAAAAAAAAAACACCCACAAAUGGGUCAAAGGAUUACAAAUUCAUUCACUCGGUCUUUAUUCCGUCGAGUAUUUAUCGGGGACUUAUGGCUUAUUACGUGCCAGGCCUUCAUAGGCUAAUGCUCAUUCCUGGUGUUUUCAAAUACACAUUUUUGUUCAAGCUAGCAUGUUCUAGAGAGUGUCGGGGUGCUAUGCAUGGUACAUCUCCAACCACAUGACGAAACAAAAUAGCAAGCGACUCUUGAAAAAGCGAGACCGUAAUUUUAAGUCAUUUCAAAAGCUAGUUUAUGUGAAGGCAGACAAUCUGGCCAAGAUCUUGACAAAUUACAUUUUAUUCAGUGCACAAGAAGCUAGCACAGCUGCCUGAAGGAAAAUGUAUCCUGGGAUUGUGUACACAGAGCAAGGCCAAAGGGCAGCCAUAUUCCAAAUAGACCGUAAACAGGAGGUUUGUUGGACGCCUUUCCAAAGAUCAUGGCAGAAUUUCAGCCGUGAGAUAACCAGAAUUCUGGCCAAAAUUAGGAGUGAUGGAAACUGUCACAUGUCUCUGGGAUAUUUUGUGGAGAUUAAUCCCUUGGCCGAGUAGUCUCUGAUGAAUGAAGGAGGAUAAUUCAGAGUCAGUCACUGAACCCCCUGGCUCUUAACUGGAAGACUGGGCUAUCAAUGAGGUAAAUUAACUUCAAUGCAUUUAGAGUUUAUUUACAACAAAACUGCAAAGCCUCUGUCUCAUCCAUAUUCAAUCAGAGAAAAUUGUGGCUCAUCCAAGACAAGACAUGAGCCAAGUCUGGGGCGAGGCGAAGGGUGACAUCAUCUGAAGGGGCUGGAAAUGAAGUGUAAAUUUGAAUAUCAUCUGUAUAUAAGUGAUAAUUAAAGCUGUGAGGCUCAAUACACGCCAAGAGAGAAAGUCAAUAAAAAUGAGGAAAACAGUGUCCCGAGCCACGUGUCAUUUCUGCAAUGGAGAUUUUUAAAAAUAAGACAGUGGGGGCAAGAUUUCCUUUCCUUGUGGAUGAUCUCAAAACAGAUACAGAUCACUUGUCAGAAAAACUCUUAUCCUUUGCAGACAAUUGCCAAAUCACUCGACGGUUGGGCAAGGUAAGAAGAGAUUUCCUGGAAGACUUCCCUUCCGGGGAAAAAUCGGUCAUUUCGAGGGGUUUGGGGAGACCACUGCCCCUUCCCAAAAAGACCGUUUAGGAAAUGCUAACAAAGAGAAUCCCCAAUCCAAGCAGACAUUUGCUUUACCCUUUCAAGUCUGGUGGUAAAUUUGGGCGGGAACCCCAAGGUGCUUUCAUCUGGGUAUUAGAGGAGUUCGUUCACGCAGAGAAGAAAUGGUUUCUCUCUUCUCAGCUGUGUUUGAACACGUUAACAGUGGAAUAACUAAAGGAAGACGCAAUGUGAAUCAAAUGAAAUUAGACCGGUUCAUAAGGAAUUAUUCAUUAAGAAAAGGGCAGCUUUUGCCCUAAUCAUCCCUCUAGAGAUUUAAACGUAGGGCUCUUUUUUUUCUCCUUCCUUCCUUCCUUCCUUCCUUCCUUCCUUCCUUCCUUCCUUCCUUCCAUUUAUUCAUUCAUUCAUUCAUUCAUUCAUUCAUUCAUUCAUUUUUGGACUACCAGCUCUCCAGACCAUAGAAGCUUCCUAAAAAUAUCCUGUUCUUCAGCAGCAUGGAGUGAGCCUAACCAUGAAUCAUGGGUAUUAUGAGCUGAAUUGUGGUCCUCUGAAAUGCAUAUAUUGAAGCCCUAAACCCAGAUGCCUAAGAAUAUGACUGUGUUUGGAGGUAGGGUUUUUUUUUUUUCUUUUUUUCUUUUUUUUUUAGAAAAGCAGACUGCUACAUGCAGUGUCUGGAUGUGUGUGGAGUCUUGGGAGCUUGAUUUCCCUUCCUUCUCCUACAAAUGGACCUGGAGAGCCUGCUUGGAGAUUCUAGCAGGGUUGUGCAGCUACCUGUAUACCCGUGACCGAAGAACAAUUCUCCUCUACUGGGGAAGGUCGUUCUCUUGGACCAAGCGCACAGGGUGUGGUGAGGAAGGAGGAGGACACCUGCCUAGCCAGCCAGAUCAGCCGAAUCAAACCUGGUCAUCAGAGGGGUGAUAGAUGUCACGGCCAGAUCACCCUCACAUAAUGGAGAUAGGGUGUUUACAGAAGUAAUUAAGUUAAAAGGGGGUCAUCAGUAUGGGCCCUAAUCCAAUAUGACUGGUGCUCUUAUAAGAAGAGGAGAUCCAGACAUAGGCACAUACACAGAGGAAAGAUCAUGUGACGACACAGGCAGAAAGCACCGUCUACAAGCCAAGGAGAGAGGUUUCAGAAGAAACGAAUCCUGCCAAUAUCUGUUGACUUCAGACUUCUACUCUCCAGAUCUGGGAGACAACAGAUUUCUGCUGUUUAAGCCCUCCGGUCUGUGGUACUUUAUUAUGGCAGCCCCAGCUGACCAAAUGAAUGGGACAAAGGAAGUAGGGCCAGCAUAAGCAUUUUCCAUGGAAGAUCCUCACCUUGAACCUUUGCUCUUAAUCUGCAAAUAGACCUAUCUCGUCGAUUCAUUUGUUAUGUCACCUUGAGCAUUUUGAUAGAUAUAACUUUUUUGAACUUUAAUUGCCUCAUGUCAGUAUUGGGAUAAAAAAUCUUGGGAUCAUAGGACCGUUGGACUGUUGCACUAGAAAUAGAGUCUCCAUGAGUCAACAUGAAAUUGUCUCCUACCUCUUCCAUCCCCUCUACAAUCAUGAAACGCCAUGGCUUUCCAAAUAGUUUUUCCUCAAAAUAUUCUAUUACAGUUUGAAAUUAGUCUGGUUUAGUCACUCACUAUGACUUUGGACAAGUUACUUAAACUCAUCGUUCCUCAUAACCUGCUUCCUAAGGUCAUAAAAAUUAAUAUUUAAAUGACGAUUAUUUAAAGCGUCCAGCAGAGUGCUUGGCACAUGGUAGGAGUUCAGUAAAGGUUGCUUUCAUCCUUCUAAAGGGACAAGCCUGUUAUUCACCAGCAGAGAAAUGUUUAUUGCAUUUGAUAUUAUACUCAUUUAUUUAUUUAUGCCCCUCUUCAAUCUAAAAGGAUUUUAGUCAGCUCAGAAAAAUAUCUCCAGAAUAAAUUAGUCCUCACAAAGGAUAAAUAGUGUGAGAUAGUAGACAAGAUCAUCGACCACCUUCCUAUACCAAAUUCAAAAGGAAGCCCAUAGGGCUGAUCCCUAAAGCGUCCUGUAGUUGUGUGGCCUCAAAAUGCAGCGAGAAAGAGCAAUGUUUUUCUAGAAAGGCAGAGGUGGAAAGAAGUCUUAAUGUGCAGCUCCUUCAUGGUCUUCACUUCACGCAAAAAUACAUUCAAAGUAUCUUGAAGGACGGAUGAGUUGGUCAUCCAUUUUUGAUUUUUUAAACUGCUUUAAAAAUACAAGAGAUACAGAAAAGUCAAAGAAUAUUGUAACUAAACUCUCAUAUUCUGCUACUCAGAAUUAGAAACCAUUCCCAUUUCACCGUAUUUGUUGGCAAUAUUUCUUAAGGAAAUAAAAUACUACGACUGAUGUCAUGUUUGACUAACAGAGAGGCAACUUCUAAUGCAUCUGAAUGAUCCUUCCAGAACAUUAAAUGUUGACACACAUGCAGGAGAUACUUGUGUCGGUUCAUGUGUGUGUUUUGUAAGUGAGGAGUGGUAUCAUAUGAUAUGUACCAUUAUGUAUCACACUCUCUCAACUCAACAUUGUUUUCUGAGAUGAGGUUGCAUUGUCACACGUGGAUCUUGCUAGUUCCUUGGAAGGACGGUGCUAUGGGAUGAAUUUUGUCCCCCUACAAUUUGUAUGUCGACAUCCUGAGCCCCAGUGCCUCAGAACGUGACUGUAUUUGGAGACACGGUCUUUGAAUAGAUUAAAAUGAGGUCAGUAUGCCUAAUCCCAUAUGACUGCUGUCUUUGUAAGAAG